CUUUGACCUCGGAUCAGGUAGGGAUACCCGCUGAACUUAAGCAUAUCAUA
Molecule: ribosomal RNA, 50 nt
Filed under: Paraphaeosphaeria sp.
Lineage: Eukaryota; Fungi; Ascomycota; Dothideomycetes; Pleosporales; Didymosphaeriaceae
Description: partial 28S ribosomal RNA
Source: RNAcentral